RNAcentral lists this transfer RNA (75 nucleotides) under bacterium (Candidatus Howlettbacteria) CG_4_10_14_3_um_filter_37_10. RNAcentral's name for it is "tRNA-Thr". It matches the Rfam family "tRNA". From Rfam's summary of the family: Transfer RNA (tRNA) molecules are approximately 80 nucleotides in length. Their secondary structure includes four short double-helical elements and three loops (D, anti-codon, and T loops). RNAcentral also lists the same sequence under 1 other name. The record is from RNAcentral.
GCCGAUGUGGCUUAAUGGUAAAGCAGCACUUUCGUAAAGUGAAGACUGGCGGUUCGAUCCCGCCCAUCGGCUCCA